Molecule: ribosomal RNA, 1304 nt
Filed under: Hamiltosporidium magnivora
Lineage: Eukaryota; Fungi; Microsporidia; Dubosqiidae
Description: SSU rRNA
Rfam family: Microsporidia small subunit ribosomal RNA
Source: RNAcentral
CACCAGGUUGAUUCUGCCUGACGAGGAUGCUUGUCUCUGGGAUUAAGCCAUGCAAGUCUGGUGAAGCGAAAGUGGAACUGCGAACGGCUCAGUAGAACGGUGAUUAUUUAAUCGUGUAGGAAGGAUAACCGCGGGAAACUGUGGCUAAUAACACGAGUAAGACGCCGACCCAUCAGUUUUAUCGUACGGUAAGGGCGUACGAUGGCUUUAACGGGUACGGGGGAUCAGGGUUUGAUUCCGGAGAGGGAGCCUGAGAAACGGCUACCAGGUCUAAGGACAGCAGCAGGCGCGAAACUUGCCCAAUUGGAGAGAGGCAGUUAUGAGACGUAUAUUUUGUAACCGGGGUAGAAUACCGGUGAUUGACUGGAGGGCAAGUCUGGUGCCAGCAGCCGCGGUAAUUCCAGCUCCAGGAGUGUCAUAGUGCAUUGCUGCAUUUAAAAGGUCCGUAGUCAGUGUUGACAGGGAUGCUAGAAGACACUUUCUUCAUGGAGUGUAUUGGCAUUCUAGGUUAGCAUGUAGGAGCGGAAGAGGGCGACUGUAUUGCGUAGCGAGAGGUGAAAGUUGACGACCUACGUAGGACAAACCGAAGUGAAAGCUGUCGUCCAGUACGUUUCCGGUGAUCAAGGACGUAAGCCGGAGGAGCAAAGGUGAUUAGAGACCCCUGUAGUUCCGGCCGUAAACUAUGCCAACUGGGUGUUACGUAGUGGUACCCACGAGAAAUCAAGUAUAUGGGCUAUGGGGAUAGUACGAUCGCAAGAUUGAAACUUGAAGAAAUUGACGGAAGGACACCACCAGGAGUGGAGUGUGCGGCUUAAUUUGACUCAACGCGGGACAACUUACCAGGGCCAGUUGUAUGACGAAUCUAUGAUGAGUACGACUAAGUGGUGCAUGGCCGUUCACAACAUGUGAGGUGACUUUUAGGUUUAUUGCUGUAAUGUGUGAGACCCUCAGCUACGGCGACUGGGGACUAUAAGUUUCAGGAAGGAGGGGGCUAUAACAGGUCUGUGAUGCCCUUAGAUGUUCUGGGCUGCACGCGCACUACAAUGUUAUUUCUAGGUAUAUUGUAAAGAUAAAGAAUAACUCGGUUGGGAUUGCGUUCUGUAAUGGACGCAUGAACCAGGAAUUCCUAGUAGUCGCGUGUCACUAACGGGCGACGACUGCGUCCCUGUUCUUUGUACACACCGCCCGUCGUUAUCUAAGAUGGUGCUAUGUUCGAAGAGGGUUUUCCUUCUGAGGACGUAGGAUUAGAUUGGAUACAAGUCGUAACAAGGUUGCUGUAGGAGAACCUGCAGCAGGAUCAGUGA